GUACUACUGACGAGUCCCAUACUAAGACGAAACGGCCGUGCAGUGC
Schistosoma haematobium is the source of this 46-nucleotide non-coding RNA. NCBI's taxonomy places the organism in Eukaryota, Metazoa, Platyhelminthes, Trematoda, Strigeidida, Schistosomatidae. The record is from Rfam.